AUUUUUAAAAGGCCGCAGUAUUUUGACUGUGCUAAGGUAGCAUAAUCAUUAGAUUUUUAAUUGAAAUCUGGAAUGAAUGGUUUAAUGAAAUAUAUUCUUUUUUAAUUUAAAUAUUGAAUUUUAUUUUUUAGUUAAAAAGCUAAAAUUUUUUUAAGGGACGAGAAGACCCUAUAGAAUUUUAUAAUUAUUUAUUAAUUUUUAAUUUAUUAAUUUUAAUAUUAUUAAAAAUUUAUUUUACUGGGGCGGUAAUUAAAUUUAUUAAACUUUUUAUAUUUAUUUCAUAAAUUAAUGUAUUUAUGAUCUUUUUUUAUUGAUUAAAAAUUUUAAUUACCUUAGGGAUAACAGCAUAAUUUUAUUAAAGAGAUCUUAUUUUUGAUAAUGUUUAUGACCUCGAUGUUGGAUUAAAUAAAAUUUUUAUAUGUAGAUAUAUAAAAAAUAAGUCUGUUCGACUUUUAAUAAUUUACAUGAUCUGAGUUCAAACCGGUGUAAGCCAGGUCGGUUUCUAUCU
Molecule: ribosomal RNA, 508 nt
Filed under: Lauthia cardui
Lineage: Eukaryota; Metazoa; Arthropoda; Insecta; Diptera; Cecidomyiidae
Description: partial large subunit ribosomal RNA
Rfam family: Bacterial large subunit ribosomal RNA (bases 338-497)
Source: RNAcentral